This 543-nucleotide long non-coding RNA is filed under the name Pan troglodytes (chimpanzee). RNAcentral's name for it is "lincRNA". Lineage: Eukaryota; Metazoa; Chordata; Mammalia; Primates; Hominidae. The record is from RNAcentral.
CAGGCAGCUAUUCCCAACCCCAGAACCUUUGCUGUCUUGGAACAGAUCACCACUGCAAGAGGGGAAGUUGCUACUGUGAUGAAUUCUGCCAUGUGGUACCAGACUGCUACCCAGACCACAGUGUCCUCUGCAACCCUCCUUCUCAGAUGACCAAGAUGGUGCUGCAGAUGGUGCUGAGGAUGGAGAACCCACCAAGCCCCGCUAGGAGCCACCUAGACUGGAUGUAGAGCAUGGUUCAGCGAGUUCUCCAAACCAGCCUCCCAGGAAUGCCGGUCUCCAUGGCUGUGAGGGGAAUCAAGAAGAGAGCCUGACUCCUCUCCUGAGGCCCCUUCCCCACCCUGAGCCAGCAGGAUCCACGGAGCAGAGGUCAUCUGUCCCCAGCUUGGCCCGCUGAGGCCAGCAUGGCUGGGCCCAUGAUGCUUGUCUCUCAGCUCCCAUCCUGUGUACUUCCACAUUGGUUUAACCAGAGCAAAACUGAAAUCUACAAUUGUCAUAAACACAUUUAAAUGUGCGUAGAAUCAGCCUUACAGGUUGUGAAACAUG